Molecule: long non-coding RNA, 442 nt
Filed under: Rhagoletis pomonella (apple maggot)
Lineage: Eukaryota; Metazoa; Arthropoda; Insecta; Diptera; Tephritidae
Description: uncharacterized LOC118746986, transcript variant X1
Source: RNAcentral
AAAUAAUCUACACUACAAAAAUCCUCACGAAAUGGUGGAAUAAAUUAACGACAAAAGCAAAGUUGCCCGAACGGGUAGAGAUUAGCAUAGAGUGGAAUUAAAGCAUCGAGUUGAGCUGGUCUCUAACCAGGCGAAUCGCAUCGAAAACUUUUCGUUUUGCUGGAAGCUUGAAUACCAAAGAGCAACAACACCACUCAAUUAAUUCAGUUCAUCGAAACUAAUGCUGAGACGCCUAAGCAAAGGAGGAAGAAAUGGGAGCAGAAAUAAAAGCAAAAACCCUUGCAUACAAACAAUUGUACCCAUGUUGCCACUUCAGCUCUACAACAACAACAACAACAAGCAAAGAGGAAAGCUACAGCAACACAAUUUGAGCCUUUGAAACUGUAAACAACAUCCAAGCGAUUGAAAAAUAAAACCAAAACAAACAAGAAUUAUUGAAAAA